AAUCAACGCUGGCGGCGUGCCUCAGACAUGCAAGUCGAACGAUUAAAGCUCUCUUCGGAGAGUGUAUAGAGUGGCGCACGGGUGAGUAACACGUAAGUAAUCUACCUUUGAGUGGGGAAUAACAGUCGGAAACGAUUGCUAAUACCGCAUAAUGCAGCGGCAUCGCAAGAUGACAGUUGUUAAAGGAGCAAUCCGCUUAAAGAGGAGCUUGCGGCAGAUUAGCUUGUUGGUAAGGUAACGGCUUACCAAGGCUACGAUCUGUAUCCGGUCUAAGAGGACGGUCGGACACACUGACACUGAAUAACGGGUCAGACUCCUACGGGAGGCUGCAGUCGGGAAUUUUGGGCAAUGGGCGAAAGCCUGACCCAGCAACGCCGCGUGAAGGAUGAAGUUUUCGGAAU
RNAcentral lists this ribosomal RNA (401 nucleotides) under uncultured bacterium. RNAcentral's name for it is "bacterial SSU rRNA". It matches the Rfam family "Bacterial small subunit ribosomal RNA", at positions 32 to 423 of the family's 1533-position model. The record is from RNAcentral.